Molecule: long non-coding RNA, 583 nt
Filed under: Pongo abelii (Sumatran orangutan)
Lineage: Eukaryota; Metazoa; Chordata; Mammalia; Primates; Hominidae
Description: lincRNA
Source: RNAcentral
GUCUUGGAUCAGACCAUUUAACCCUGUAGCAGCCUAGUCUCCAAAGGGGAGAAAAGAGUAACAGUGGGCUAGGCUUCAUUCUCCUGAAGAAUGGCAUGGCAUUGCCCCAUCCUGAGUGGGCAGCUCCAGAGCAGGGCCAGGGUGCACAUCUUCUAGAAGCCAGCUGUCAUUUUUCCCUAGGAUUCAUUGACACCAGCUUGUCUCCAGCCUGAAGGCUCCCUGCCCCUGGGCUCAGGCGGAAAUGGCUCCUCCUCCCCUGGCUGCUGUCUGUCUUCAGUUCAGCCUGCCUCUCCCUCCUGAUCACUCCGGCUGAAGCAAGAAGCCAUGAAGAUGGCUCUGUAGUGGCAAGUUGCAUCAGGUUGCCUCUGGGAGAAAGAGAGAAAGACCUGGCUUAUGCAACUCUCUCUUCCCAUACACUGAAUCUCUGAAGUUCCUGGCCAACCCCCUCAUCUUCCCACCAGAGCUUGCCAAGGCUUAGCUCGGCAGGAACAAGGCCCAAAGAGCUACACAGAGCAUCUCCCAGACAGUGGCCACUGAGAACCAUCUCCUUUCAAGAUCCCAUUGGCUUGAUGAGUUGUCUGGG